CAAAGCCUCCAGGUCCUUUCCAGCGCUCCUGGCCGGCACCAUCCUCGGGUUUAAGGCAAGGGGACACUUCUCCAGCACCCAUCCAGCCUGGAUCUCAUCCUGCACCCACCGGCUCUCCACUCUCAGGGUGUCCUGAAAACACGGAUACARCUGUGUUUGCAUCAAAGCGCUUUGUUCUUUGUGAUGAGCAAGAAUUCUCCCAGUUUAAGUCACAGAAUGCAGCAGGAUGUGGUGACUCGGACUGGAAUCUGCCUAAAUGCAGGCUGUGGGGUGAUUCAGGGAAGGAACAAUGCCUCUCCCCUAAGGAAAAUGGUGUGGGGGAGUUUUUGGAUGGGAUUUUCUCCUCCAUGCCACCGUGGAUGACAGAAAUGAUACUCCCCCAGACAUGCAGAGGCACAGCCAGGCUGAGUGAGGUUUUUCCUGUGUCUGGGAAUUAGAACUCUGGGUGGUUAAUGGAAGGAAUCAGCAUAUGGGAGUUUUCUCAGCAGCUGUUCCCAGGAAAGGUGAUACAUUUGCAAGGGCAUGAGUGGUGCCAGGCUGAAAGUGUCACCAACCCCCUCACCUGGGAUGAUCUGUCCUGUGUUUGCAYUGGGGAUGUCAUCAGAGCCCAGGCAAGAGAGGUGGAGCCCGCAUUUGGUGUCACGAAAGAAAACAGAGUAGCAUGAGUUCACAGUGCACGUGCUUGCAAGUCUUGGAAUGAGAGUAAGUAACUGAAUCCAGUUUUGGAGCAUGACGGGAAAAUGACGUGCAUUUACCACCCCUCCUCCAAAGCAGAAGUGGUUAUGGUUCAAGAAAACCCCAAAAAAUCUGUUGGAAAGUGUGUCUGAACUCUGUGAAACAAUGUGCUCCUAUUAAAACACAGGUUAUUCCUGCCCAAACUUGAA
Long non-coding RNA from Malurus melanocephalus (red-backed fairy wren), 884 nucleotides. RefSeq lists it as uncharacterized. The transcript is spliced from 6 exons. The record is from RefSeq and is a predicted model, not a curated record. Lineage: Eukaryota; Metazoa; Chordata; Aves; Passeriformes; Maluridae.